Molecule: transfer RNA, 101 nt
Filed under: Pseudoduganella buxea
Lineage: Bacteria; Pseudomonadati; Pseudomonadota; Betaproteobacteria; Burkholderiales; Oxalobacteraceae
Description: tRNA-Val
Source: RNAcentral
CGCCGGCAGCGCCACGCGGGAAAUGCGGCCGGCCGGGUUGACGGCCUGGGCCGCGGCGACGGCCGCGACGACGCCGAUCGGUUCGGUGCCGCCGGCGGUGU